This 440-nucleotide ribosomal RNA is filed under the name uncultured bacterium. RNAcentral describes it as "partial 16S ribosomal RNA". It matches the Rfam family "Bacterial small subunit ribosomal RNA", at positions 338 to 795 of the family's 1533-position model. The record is from RNAcentral.
CCUACGGGAGGCAGCAGUGGGGAAUAUUGCACAAUGGGGGAAACCCUGAUGCAGCGACGCCGCGUGAAGGAAGAAGUAUUUCGGUAUGUAAACUUCUAUCAGCAGGGAAGAAAAUGACGGUACCUGACUAAGAAGCCCCGGCUAACUUCGUGCCAGCAGCCGCGGUAAUACGGAGGGGGCGAGCGUUAUCCGGAUUUACUGGGUGUAAAGGGAGAGUAGGCGGUGCAGCAAGUCAGAAGUGAAAGACCGGGGCUCAACUCCGGGACUGCUGUGGACACUGUUGAACUAGAUUGCAGGCGAGGUAAGUGGAAUUCCUGGUGUAGCGGUGAAAUGCUUAGAUAUUAGGAGGAACACCAGUGGCGAAGGCGGCUUACUGGACUGUAAAUGACGCUGAGGCUCGAAAGCGUGGGGAGCAAACAGGAUUAGAUACCCUAGUAGUC